RNAcentral lists this ribosomal RNA (465 nucleotides) under uncultured bacterium. RNAcentral's name for it is "partial 16S ribosomal RNA". It matches the Rfam family "Bacterial small subunit ribosomal RNA", at positions 28 to 507 of the family's 1533-position model. The record is from RNAcentral.
GAUGAACGCUGGCGGCGUGCUUAACACAUGCAAGUCGAACGGAAAGGCCCAAGCUUGCUUGGGUACUCGAGUGGCGAACGGGUGAGUAACACGUGGGUGAUCUGCCCUGCACUUCGGGAUAAGCCUGGGAAACUGGGUCUAAUACCGGAUAGGACCACAUUUUGGAUGGUGUGGUGGAAAGUUUUUCGGUGUGGGAUGAGCUCGCGGCCUAUCAGCUUGUUGGUGGGGUAAUGGCCUACCAAGGCGUCGACGGGUAGCCGGCCUGAGAGGGUGUACGGCCACAUUGGGACUGAGAUACGGCCAAGACUACUACGGGAGGCAGCAGUGGGGAAUAUUGGACAAUGGGGGCAAGCCUGAUGCAGCGACGCCGAGUGGGGGAUGACGGCCUUCGGGUUGUAAACUCCUUUCGCUAGGGACGAAGCGCAAGUGACGGUACCUGGAGAAGAAGCACCGGCUAACUACGUG